Molecule: ribosomal RNA, 495 nt
Filed under: uncultured bacterium
Lineage: Bacteria
Description: partial 16S ribosomal RNA
Rfam family: Bacterial small subunit ribosomal RNA
Source: RNAcentral
GACGAACGCUGGCGGCGUGCCUAAUACAUGCAAGUAGAACGCUGAAGGAGGAGCUUGCUCUUCUGGAUGAGUUGCGAACGGGUGAGUAACGCGUAGGUAACCUGCCUGGUAGCGGGGGAUAACUAUUGGAAACGAUAGCUAAUACCGCAUAACAGUAGAUGUUGCAUGACAUUUACUUAAAAGGUGCAAUUGCAUCACUACCAGAUGGACCUGCGUUGUAUUAACUAGUUGGUGGGGUAACGGCGCAACAAGGCGACGAUACAUAGCCGGCCUGAGAGGGGUGUCGGCCACAAUGGGACUGAGACACGGCCCAGACUUCUACGGGAGGCAGCAGUAGGGGAUCCUCCGCAAUGGACGGAAGUCUGACCGAGCAACCCCGCGUGAGUGAAGAAGGUUUUCGGAUCGUAAAGCUCUGUUGUAAGAGAAGGACGAGUGUGGGAGUGGAAAGUUCACACUGUGACGGUAUCUUACCAGAAAGGGACGGCUAACUACGUG